UACGUAGGGCGCAAGCGUUGUCCGGAAUUAUUGGGCGUAAAGAGCUCGUAGGCGGCCAGUUGCGUCCGCUGUGAAAUCCCGGGGCUUAACCCCGGGCGUGCAGUGGAUACGGGCUGGCUAGAGGCAGGCAGGGGAGAACGGAAUUCCCGGUGUAGCGGUGAAAUGCGCAGAUAUCGGGAGGAACACCAGUGGCGAAGGCGGCGAUCUGGGUCGAUACUGACGCUGAGGUGCGAAAGCGUGGGGAGCAAACAGG
This 253-nucleotide ribosomal RNA is filed under the name uncultured bacterium. RNAcentral describes it as "partial 16S ribosomal RNA". It matches the Rfam family "Bacterial small subunit ribosomal RNA", at positions 524 to 776 of the family's 1533-position model. The record is from RNAcentral.